RNAcentral lists this microRNA precursor (131 nucleotides) under Pelobates cultripes (western spadefoot toad). Lineage: Eukaryota; Metazoa; Chordata; Amphibia; Anura; Pelobatidae. The record is from RNAcentral.
GGAUGUCCAACCUGCGGGCCCCCAGAUGUUGCUGAACUACAACUCCCAUAAUUCCCAGGCUAUCUUUUUAAUUGAAAGAAUCAUGGGAGUUGUAGUUCAGCAACAUCCAGGGGGAUGCAGGUUGGACAGCC